Molecule: ribosomal RNA, 253 nt
Filed under: uncultured bacterium
Lineage: Bacteria
Description: partial 16S ribosomal RNA
Rfam family: Bacterial small subunit ribosomal RNA
Source: RNAcentral
UACGUAGGGUGCGAGCGUUAAUCGGAAUUACUGGGCGUAAAGCGUGCGCAGGCGGAUUGUUAAGCAAGAUGUGAAAUCCCCGGGCUUAACCUGGGAAUGGCAUUUUGAACUGGCAGUCUAGAGUGUGUCAGAGGGGGGUGGAAUUCCACGUGUAGCAGUGAAAUGCGUAGAGAUCGGGAGGAACAUCAGUUGCGAAGGCGGCUCUCUGGACCAGUACUGACGCUGAGGCACGAAAGCGUGGGGAGCAAACAGG